GAGUUUGAUCCUGGCUCAGAUUGAACGCUAGCGGGAUGCUUUACACAUGCAAGUCGAACGGCAGCACGAGAGAGCUUGCUCUCUUGGUGGCGAGUGGCGGACGGGUGAGUAAUAUAUCGGAACGUGCCUAGUAGCGGGGGAUAACUACUCGAAAGAGUGGCUAAUACCGCAUACGCCCUACGGGGGAAAGGGGGGGAUCGCAAGACCUCUCACUAUUAGAGCGGCCGAUAUCGGAUUAGCUAGUUGGUGGGGUAAAGGCUCACCAAGGCAACGAUCCGUAGCUGGUUUGAGAGGACGACCAGCCACACUGGGACUGAGACACGGCCCAGACUCCUACGGGAGGCAGCAGUGGGGAAUUUUGGACAAUGGGGGAAACCCUGAUCCAGCCAUCCCGCGUGUAUGAUGAAGGCCUUCGGGUUGUAAAGUACUUUUGGCAGAGAAGAAAAGGUACCUCCUAAUACGAGGUACUGCUGACGGUAUCUGCAGAAUAAGCACCGGCUAACUACGUGCCAGCAGCCGCGGUAAUAC
RNAcentral lists this ribosomal RNA (528 nucleotides) under uncultured Alcaligenes sp. RNAcentral describes it as "bacterial SSU rRNA". It matches the Rfam family "Bacterial small subunit ribosomal RNA", at positions 9 to 526 of the family's 1533-position model. The record is from RNAcentral. Lineage: Bacteria; Pseudomonadati; Pseudomonadota; Betaproteobacteria; Burkholderiales; Alcaligenaceae.